Molecule: ribosomal RNA, 450 nt
Filed under: uncultured bacterium
Lineage: Bacteria
Description: partial 16S ribosomal RNA
Rfam family: Bacterial small subunit ribosomal RNA
Source: RNAcentral
GUGGGGAAUAUUGGACAAUGGGCGAAAGCCUGAUCCAGCCAUGCCGCGUGUGUGAAGAAGGUCUUCGGAUUGUAAAGCACUUUAAGUUGGGAGGAAGGGCAGUAAGUUAAUACCUUGCUGUUUUGACGUUACCGACAGAAUAAGCACCGGCUAACUUCGUGCCAGCAGCCGCGGUAAUACGAAGGGUGCAAGCGUUAAUCGGAAUUACUGGGCGUAAAGCGCGCGUAGGUGGUUUUGUAAGUUGAAGGUGAAAUCCCCGAGCUCAACCUGGGAACUGCCUCCAAAACUGCAUGACUAGAGUACGGUAGAGGGUAGUGGAAUUUCCUGUGUAGCGGUGAAAUGCGUAGAUAUAGGAAGGAACACCAGUGGCGAAGGCGACUACCUGGACUGAUACUGACACUGAGGUGCGAAAGCGUGGGGAGCAAACAGGAUUAGAUACUCUGGUAGUCC